Long non-coding RNA from Choloepus didactylus (southern two-toed sloth), 231 nucleotides. RefSeq lists it as uncharacterized. The record is from RefSeq and is a predicted model, not a curated record. The transcript has 3 exons. Lineage: Eukaryota; Metazoa; Chordata; Mammalia; Pilosa; Megalonychidae.
AUCGCGGCUUCCAGGCUUGGCCAUGUCUAACCGUCUCAAGUGGUUUCUGAAGGAGGGCUGCAGGCCAAAAAACCUAACAUUUUGGUGCCAAAACCCAGGACCAGGAGAGGAGACCAAAUCUCCAUCAGAAAUGUCGGAACCCACUUGCCUAACUUUGGCACCAACACCAGCGAAUCUCCUCCAGAUGUGACUUAAUCAACUGUGAGUGAAACGUCUGAUUGGAUAAUUUCC